RNAcentral lists this long non-coding RNA (1070 nucleotides) under Nicotiana tabacum (common tobacco). RNAcentral describes it as "long non-coding RNA (NTAB_LNC013452)". The record is from RNAcentral. Lineage: Eukaryota; Viridiplantae; Streptophyta; Magnoliopsida; Solanales; Solanaceae.
UUUUUUCACAUUGGUACCCAAAAAUCUCAAAUUAUCUUUCAUCCUCAUCUAGAAACAGUAUUUUUCACAUCUCUACAGUUCGCUUCUGUCAGCUCCUACCCCCGAUUGUCAGCUCCUCUUCCUGCAAAAAGAAAGAUUUUAUCUAAAAAGGGUGCCAAUUUUUCUAAUUUUUCUUACAGAUCCGACAACCCAAUUUCUCUGCUACAAUUUCAAGAUUUUCUUUGCUGUAAGUAUUUCAGAAUGUUGUUGAUAAAAUUAAGCUGUAUGCUAUGCGAAUCACAUUUAUUGAAGGUAUCAAUCAAUCAAUCAAUCAAUCAAUCAAUCAAUCAAAUUGGGAUUGGCUAUAUGAAUCCCCCAUAGCUAUUUUGCUCUGUGGGGAUAUGUGUAUUAAACGGUAUUGUGAAAUUGACAAUCUGCUACUGAAUUAAAAUUGUAUGUACUGAGAUUUAGGAUGAAAUUGCAUAUACGGAGCUGAAUUAUUUGCUGCUGCCUGAAGGAAAACUGGAUUUUUAUCUGAAAUUAAGUGGGUUUGCUUGACUAUUCUUUUCAGCAUUAUAUAGUGUGAUUCUAACAGUAAUUAUUUGCAAGUAUUGGAAUGAAAAGGGCAAGAGAGCAGCAAAAUGGAUAUAGAGGGUCAUAUAGUUAGUUGAUCCCAACUAGUAUGGGAUUGAGACGUAGUUGAUUAUUUACUGGUUGAAGGUGCUAAACUUAAGCAUGUAACCCAAAGCUGGCUAAAUAAUUGAGAAAAGCUGAGAUAUUUCGAGCUAUCAAUGCUAGAGGAAGUCACUUUGAAUUGGGGUUAUCUCCAAUUUGUUUAUAUGAAAAAUUCAAAUAAGGAGGCUACAAAAGUUUUUUCCUCCCAAUUGAGGACCUUUAAGUUUACUUUAAAAACCUCAUUGGCUUCUGUAGCAGAACCAACUACCAGCAUUGUUAUCUGAACACUUUACUACUUGAAAAUGGACCUUAAUUGUUGAAUUUUCUAAUUCAACCUACAGUUAUAGAGCACUGUGGUGCAAGGGGUUUUUUUUUUUUUUUUUUGAGAAGGAGCAAGGUUGUGCUUUUCUUAAAAU